AUUGAACGCUGGCGGCAGGCUUAACACAUGCAAGUCGAGCGGGGGAAGGUAGCUUGCUACCGGACCUAGCGGCGGACGGGUGAGUAAUGCUUAGGAAUCUGCCUAUUAGUGGGGGACAACAUCUCGAAAGGGAUGCUAAUACCGCAUACGUCCUACGGGAGAAAGCAGGGGAUCUUCGGACCUCGCGCUAAUAGAUGAGCCUAAGUCGGAUUAGCUAGUUGGUGGGGUAAAGGCCUACCAAGGCGACGAUCUGUAGCGGGUCUGAGAGGAUGAUCCGCCACACUGGGACUGAGACACGGCCCAGACUCCUACGGGAGGCAGCAGUGGGGAAUAUUGGACAAUGGGGGGAACCCUGAUCCAGCCAUGCCGCGUGUGUGAAGAAGGCCUUAUGGUUGUAAAGCACUUUAAGCGAGGAGGAGGCUACUUUAGUUAAUACAUGGAGAUAGUGGACGUUACUCGCAGAAUAAGCACCGGCUAACUCUGUGCCAGCCGCCGCAGUAA
RNAcentral lists this ribosomal RNA (501 nucleotides) under uncultured bacterium. RNAcentral describes it as "partial 16S ribosomal RNA". It matches the Rfam family "Bacterial small subunit ribosomal RNA", at positions 30 to 523 of the family's 1533-position model. The record is from RNAcentral.